AAGUGCUAGGAUUACAGGCGUGAGUCACCGUGCCUGGCCCCCAUGACCUUUUCGAAGUCCCCUAGUAUGCCUUUACACCCAUUUCUAGAAUGAUUCCCAACAUUCCUUCAUUUAUUCCUUUAUUUAUUGAAUAAAUAAUUAUUAAAUGCUUGUCAUGUAUGUUCCAGGCUUUGCUCUAGUAAUUUCGGAUAUAUCAAUGAACAAAGCAGGAAAGAAAAAAAAAAAAGGCAAAAUCUCUGCCUUCCGGGAGCUCACAUUCCCACAGGAGUCACAGGAAACAGCCAAUGACCAGUAAGCAUCACAAAGAAGUCAUGCCAAAGAACCAGACAAAUAGCUGGAAGGAAGAGGGGAACUCCUUUGUGACGCCAAAUGGGCCAAAGGGUCGCUGGGAAAACUAAGCCUUACUGUCCAUCUUGCCUUCAGGAUAAUGUGAAAUAUGGCCUAAUUUUUGAAGUUUUUUUCUUAGAAAUUUUACUGAAUCCAAAAUAAAACAAGAAGAUCAUGAGUCCAGAAUUCUCUUUUCUCAACACUAGAUGGCAGUAGAGUUAAAGAAAAAAAUCCCAGCAGUUCUUUGUACAGGGAUUUGGUGAUUUUUCCCAUAAAGCUGCGAUGAGGAUGAACUCAGAGCAAAAUCUAUGGGGAGUUUUAUACCUGGUAUACUAUUUGUAGCCUUCGUAGAGGGUUCUCCAUUCUAGUCACACCGAUUUCCUCUCUGCUGCAGACAUUGGACACUGGCCUAGUGUUCCAGAAGCUCUGAGUUCAGAGUCCUCAUGUACUAAUGCCAGCAACAGUCAGUUUCACAGUGCCUCUGGCCAGCUGCACUCUUAUGCAACUCAACAAUUUCUCACCUUUUCUCCUUUUAAAAACAAUAUAAGCAACAAAACCACCCAGCUCCCACUGCUGCAUAACCCAGAAGUAUUGGAAAGAUCACUUCAUACAAUUCUUGAGGCAAUCCUGCAGGAUCAAGCAAUUAGGUCCUUGGAGUGGUGGCCAGCUCAUCAAAGCCUCUUUGUACUGGUGCUUCCCCUGAUCCUGUUUUGUUCCCUUGUCCCUCUUUCCUGCUCCUAGCUAGGAUCACACUCCCCAAUAAAGUUUUUGAACAAUG
Molecule: long non-coding RNA, 1105 nt
Filed under: Homo sapiens (human)
Lineage: Eukaryota; Metazoa; Chordata; Mammalia; Primates; Hominidae
Description: HSALNT0353325
Source: RNAcentral